Molecule: ribosomal RNA, 440 nt
Filed under: uncultured bacterium
Lineage: Bacteria
Description: partial 16S ribosomal RNA
Rfam family: Bacterial small subunit ribosomal RNA
Source: RNAcentral
CCUACGGGUGGCAGCAGUAGGGAAUAUUGCUCAAUGGCCGAAACGCUGAACCAGCAACGCCGCGUGAAGGAUGAAGGUUUUCUGGUUUUUAACUCCUUUUUUUAGAGGAGUUAAUGUCUGUAUCUGAGGAAUAAUCACCGUCUACCUCCGUUCCAGCAGCCGCAGUAAUACGGAGGGUGCAAGCGUUAUCCGGAGUCACUGGGCGUAAAGAGCGCGUAGGCGGGAUAGCAAGUCAGCUGUGAAAUCUUAUGGCUUAACCAUAAAGUUGCAUUUGAAACUGUAAUACUAGAGUAUGUGAGAGGUAGGCGGAAUGCUUGGUGUAGCGGUAAAAUGCGUAGAGAUCACGAAGAAUACUGAUUGCGAAGGCGACCUGCUAGACCAUAACUGACGCUGAUGCGCGAAAGCGUGGGGAUCAAACAGGAUUAGAUACCCUUGUAGUC